GUUUCCUUCCCCAAUUUCCAAAACAGACAUAAAAAUAGUUCUCUUUUGUUGACUUUAUUUCCACCUUUUCUCUUUCCCUCCACUUUCUUUUCCCCUUUUGUUUUGCUCCCAAGCAAAGUGUUAACAGUAAAAUAAUUUCAAAGCAACUGUUACAUGCUAUUAUCUAGAUACAAUUUUAUUGGUUUAAUGAACUUUUUGAGAAGAAAGUAUAUGUAUAUUCAUGUGUUAUAUAUAUAUAAUGACAAAGAAACUGUGCAAAUUGAUCGGAUGCAAUUUAUGCCAAAAAAAAAAUCAGCCUAA
RNAcentral lists this unclassified non-coding RNA (300 nucleotides) under Hevea brasiliensis (rubber tree). The record is from RNAcentral. Lineage: Eukaryota; Viridiplantae; Streptophyta; Magnoliopsida; Malpighiales; Euphorbiaceae.